UGGACAGGGAGGGGGCUCCAGCUGAAGGAAGAGAGGGCACUGUGACUUCACUCCACUCCACUCCCACUCCCUUCUCCUGACCUUUGCCCAGAGCACCAGCCAAUUCUGGAUCCUUGAUGUGGAUUCUUCGCUAAGCAAGGGCCUCCUUUAACAGAAAACGCUUUACAUGGGUCUCCUUGUGCCCUGAACUCCUCCCUCCGGUGCCUCAGGGCCCAGAUGACAGCCAUUUAGCUGUCCUGGGGCCUGGUCCAGCUGCGUGUAAUGUGAUGCUGCUCCUUGGAGGCCACCAACGGUCCCAGCCUUUCCCGGGCCAAACGUGGAGUGGAGAUACCACAUCAAGAGCCACCAUCCUGGGCCAAGCCACCAUCCCCUCCUGCCUGGAUGACAACAGCAGCUCUGGGACACCCCCUUGCAUCCAAGCUUGCCUCCUCCCCUUCACCAUUGCCCACGGAAAUGAAGCUGGAUUGGUCUUCCUAAAGCGAGAAUAAACUCAUCUGCCACAAACCCCUGAGGCCUCCAUUCUUCUCAGUGCAG
This 534-nucleotide long non-coding RNA is filed under the name Equus caballus (horse). Its description in RNAcentral is "lncRNA (ENSECAG00000054822.1)". Lineage: Eukaryota; Metazoa; Chordata; Mammalia; Perissodactyla; Equidae. The record is from RNAcentral.